UAUCCAAUUGCCUCUUAACACUUUCUCUUAGGUGUUUCAAAAUACUCCGAACUGAAGCCAUGCUCUUCAUGACUCCCUUCCUCAAGUCUGCUUCUCUUUCUGAUUUCCCUCUAUCGGUGAAGUCACCGUGAUCCAUUCACUUGCACAAAGCGCAAACUUAGGAAUCAUUUGUGACAUCUCUUUCUCCCUCCAUCCCCCAUAUCCAAUUCAUCACCAGCCUGUUGACUUUAAUUCCUAAAAGUCACUCGAGUCGAUCUACUUCUCUUCCACCUCCUGCCAAUAUGCUAGUCCAAACUGCCAUUUCUUUCCUCAAAACUCCCCACAGUCUUCCAGCUGGUCUUCUUGCAUGCAGUUUCUUCCUCACCCUGCACCCAGAGGGAUUCUCCCCAGAUGCGUCUCUGAUCACACCAUCCUGCCAUUGACUCUGUCCUCAUAGGGACAUACUAAAACUCUUCAGUGGCGGCUCCUUGCUCAUAUGAUAAAGAUAUGCUCUAGAGCUGGAGACAAAGUGAGCUCCCCCGAGCUGAGCACGGAAGUGGGAGUGGAGGAAGGAUCCUUUAUCAAGGCCAGGUACGAAGCUGUUACAGCACAAGGAGAAGUGGAUGCUGGUCAUGGAGAGACAGCAGACAUCCACUACAAGGACAGUCUCUCAAGGGAGAGUUUUGUCAAGGAAGAACUUUGCAAGAGAUUAACAGGAUUUCAAGACCCUGUACAGGUGGGCUGAGAUAAUGGUUUCAGCAAGAGACUAAGAGACCUUAGAGGCUUAGGGAAAAGCUGACUGAGUGGAAUCAGGGCACGUAUAUCAAGUUUAGGGCAGCGUUAGUAAGACCACACUAGUGGUGAGGCCAAGGCACCUAAUAUGCAUCUGACUGCUGAAGACUUCCAGUUCAUGGAGCUAUACAGGAGCAGGCUGGGGCUGACAGGAGUCUGGCAUGACUUGGUCAUACUGAACCUCCGUUGGCUUCUCCCUGCUCAGAAACCAUCUGUUCUAUAAUGUCUUCUAGAAUUGAACUGGGAUAUGAUGUUGUACUACCCGAUCUCUAAUUCCUGGGAGUCAGCCUUGAAUCUUUGUUCUUGCCUGAAAAUGAGCUCAAUUACUCAUCGCCAGUCUCCUGGUGUCUCUCUCACCUACCUACCCUGAAGAUUUCUUCUUUCUUUCUUGAAGUUGAACUUAUAUUUCAUAAUAGGUGCCUCUGUUUAAUCCACCGUUUGAAGUGCUGGAGGAGCAAGGAAGGCCAGAUGAGUUUCUUCCCUUUCAGCCCAUCUUCUGUGUCUCUCUAGAGACAUUAAAAAAAAAAAAAGCCAGCUCUCUGUUUAAAAGCCUCCAAUUUUCUGCAGACUAAAGUUCAGCCGCUCUAAUGUGGCACAUGGAAUUCUUUGUAACACAGCCUGCAUCUUGUAGGGUUUCUUGGUUACAGGCACAGUAACUAUCUCUGAAUGGUGCAAGCCUUAGAAAGCUCAUGGAAUGGAAGGCAUAGCUGAUCAAAGAAGCCUAAGAAAGGACUGGAACCAGCAGACCUCCAAUAAUCCAGAGAAUAGGACUUAAGCGACACUCUCUUCAAGACGCUGUGGCUGGUACAAACCAGCUCCAAGACAUUUCCCUCAGCCCCUCCAUUCAUGAUUUAAAUUCCUAAGAACCACCUCCCACCACCAUUGUGUGGCUUCUUAGAGGAAAUCCCAACCAAGGUGUCCCACGUCCCUUGGGUAAGGAGCAGUGACCUAAGCUCAGCCGGCUUGAUUGCGGAGGGCAGCGCCAUUCUUAAGCCCAUGCAGAAAACAUCCCUGCACUGAGUCAUCCGCCCUAGAAGUCUCCACUCUAGUCCUUCUCCCAUCACGUCUUCCCAGGGGAUAAGGAGGCCACAGGCCAAGGGCACUUGCCCACCUCAACCUGCACCCUCUCUUCUGGACCAUUCUCUUGGUCACAGAGACCCUGGACUUCCCUGCCCAAGUUGGCUCUUCCCUGGAUCUGUCCUCCCGAGGGCACAUGGCACAUGAAAGCCAGAGGGGAUGUAAAGACUGCUGUCCACCCAUUUUCACUGUGCAGGUUAUGAUGUACUCACACACGUACAAAAAGCCACUACAGUGAUGGGCAGAGCUGGGAGUAGGAAGAGAAGUGGGGAACAGGCUGAGGGUAGGGAUCCGGGAGCCAUAAGCCAGGAGCCAGCUCUCCCCAUGCUGCUAUAUUCUGGCAAGAAAAUCUGAGAAGCCAGAGGAUUCCAAAUUUGAACUUGGCCUUCCAGGUCAUUAUGAAGAUAGGAGGAUAGUACAUAUUUUAAAUGACACUUUAAUAGAUUGCUUUAUCACUUUCAAAUCCCUGGGCAUGUGGUAUAUGGCCCUUCAUUUGUACGCUUCCUCUGGGUCCUGCAAGGGUAUAGGCAGGUCGGUCAAAGAGCAUCAGGAUGCUGCUACCCGAGGAAGAGGCCAGUGAUGUCCACGUGCUGUUGAGAUCCCGUGUUCCCACCCCUGUGUCUAGUGACCCAGCGCCCCGUGACUCAGCUGCCCAGGCCCUGAGCAGACCCUGCAAAUGCCGGAGGCUCCCAACUGUCUCCCUGCCUCCACGUUAGCCCCCUGGAGUCCUCUCAGUCAAGCAUCCAGAGGUAUCUUUAAACAUAUAAUGAAUCAAGCCACUUCCCAGUUUAAAAGCCUACGGUGACCGCUCCCCACCCCCACCUACCCCGCCCAGAGGAAAAGUCAAAAUCCUUUCCACAUUUCGCAAAGCUUUGCACGACACCUCCCAGCCUCCAUCCACCGUCUCUCUGUCCUCUUGCUGACCCACUCCAGCCAUGCUGUCCUUCUGGUGGUCGCUGGACACGUCAAGCUCAGCCCUGCAUGGGGUCCUCUGCACCUGCUGUCCUUGUGGCUGGAACAUUCUUCCCUUGGUUGUCCCCAUGGCUAGCUCUUUCAGCUCCUUCAGCUCUCUGUUUAUGCUACUUCCUAGCACAAUCUUCUCUGGUGACCCCAACUAAAAUAGGGGGCCCCGUUCCCACCGCAGCAUCUCCCACCUCCUUUCCCUGCAUUAUUCUCCGCACAGCACUCCCCGUCACACUAUGCGUCUUGAUUGUUUCUUGCAUGUUAUCUAUCUAGACAGACUAGAAGAGAAGCAACGUGCGGGCAGGGACCUUUGUCUGUCUGUUCCCUGCUGUCUCUCCAGCACCUGGAACACUCCUGAGCUCAGAGGUGACACUCCACAAAUGUUUGUUGAGUGAAUAAUGGGAUGAAUGAAUGAAAGCAUACAUGCCAUGCCCCUGAGCCCCUGCAUAUGGUCCCCUCUCUGUCUGGGAUGCCACCAUCAUCUUCUCCUUCAAGGCCUAGCUCAGCAUUACCCUAUCUCUGCGGCACCUCCUCCUCUCCAUCCCACCCCAGCAGCAUUGUUUUUGGUUCCCCCAUCAUGCUUUACACAUACUUCUCUAAUAAUACUCACUACAUUCAAUUAUUGUCUGGUGUUUUUUUUCUUUUAAAAGAUGUACAUAAGCAGUACAUGAAUACAUUCACUUUAUUAAAUAUUCAAACAAUAUAGUAAGUGAAAGAUCUCCUCUAGGCUACUCUCAAAAUCUACCUUUCCUUUCCAGAAGUAAUCUUGUCUGGGAAUUUACAUACACAUACAUGGAUAAAAAAGUAAAGUUUUGUUUUGAGUGUGCAUGUGUGUGCUUUAUUAUACCUAUGUUCUGGCAUUUUCUAUGAUUUGCAUCUUUGACACAGAGUACUUUGUGUGAUUGUCUGUUUUGUACCUGUAUGCAUUUAAAUCACUUUAAAAAAUAAUUUAGCAUUGAAUUAGAUAGAAUGAAGGCAUGAAGAUUUAGUUGGCCAUUCCCCAUCUUAUGGGUAUUUAGAUGGUUCACAUUGCUGCAGCCAUGCCACAGUGAAAGUUCCUACACAGGUCUGUUAGAGCAUAUGUGUUUCUCCAGACUACAUACCUAGAAGGGAAAUAGAGGAUUUGAAAAGUGUGCAGAUUUUAACCUGUCAAUUCACCCUUUAAAAAGCCUGUAAAAAUUAUGCUUCUGUGAAGGUGGGAUAUUUUUAAUAUUUGCCUAUUUGCUGGGAGAAAAUGUCUCAUUCGAGUUUUGUUUUUCAUUUCCCUGAUUAUUGCUGAAGUUUACAUGUUUGUCUAUAUUUAUUAGAAUUUAGUUUCUCUUGUGACUCGUUUUUCCAUCUUCUUGGCCCGUUUUUCUUUUCUCUUGCUGUCACUAUCUUACGUGCCUGUUUGUUUUACUUGACUGUGAGCUCCUUCAGGUGGUCAUCACAUCUUAUUUAUCAAGGUUUCCCCUUCCAGAGCACACAGACAGUGCUUAAUGAAUGUAUAUCCAAUUGCAUUAUUGAAGCCAUAGGCAUUACCCUUUAUCAUGGUUAUCAUCAUUAUCAUCCUCCUCAUCACCGCCAGUACCAUUUAUUUAGUCUCACAGGAUGCUAAGCCCUGUCUCGGGAGGUGUGCGUAUAUAGUCUCUCAUCUUCCUAAUACCUCGCCCAACAAAGUGACUAUUGGUAGCUCUGUUUUACAGAUAAAGCAGUUGAGACUCAUGCAAGUUACACGGGCUGCCCAAGGACACUCAGCCGGAUUAUGAAGGGAGGGAUUAUGGAGCAGAGUCUUUUCAGCCUGGUUCCAAAGUAUGUGCAGUCUCCCUUAGAGCAAUUGGCCUCUUCCUGGCCACGCAUUAGAAUCACCUGAACAGGCUUUUAAAUGAUAGCUAUAUCCAGUCCUACCCCAGGCCAAUUGAUUCAGAAACUCUGGGACUAGGUCUGGGGAAGUGGUGUUAUAAAAAUCCCUACAUGAUUUUGAUGUGCAGAAAUGGUUGAAAACCUUUGGUCUACAUUGGGAGUGAACCAGCUUUUUUUGUAAAGUGCCAGAUAGUAAAUAUUUUAGACUUUGCCUGCCAUACAGUCUCUGUGGCAACUAUCCACCUUUGCUGUUGUAGGGUCAAAACAGCCAAAGACAAAAAUGAACGAACAUGACUGUGUUCCAAUUGAAACCCAUUUACAAAAACAAACGGCAGCCAAAUUUGGUCCAUGGGCUGUAGUUUGUGGACCCCUAGUCUAUAUCAUAAUACUUCGAAGAUCUUGGAAUUUCGGAUUGUCCCAGUCAAACCAGGACAUCUGGUCACAUUAAUUACCUUGCUAAGUCUCAAGGACAGUGGCAUGAGAAUCUUUGCCCCACCUCAACAGAUUCUGCUUCAGUAGGUUGGGGCCUGGGCAUCUGCAUUUCAACAAGGGAUGCAGCUGAUUCUGAUGUAAGCAGACUUCGUGGGUCCUUACUGCAAGAAUCACUGGGCUACCAAAGCAUAAUGUUCUUGGCAAGUAGCGAAAGCUUGGCUGGAGAAGCAGAACUGGUUCUUAUCCAACAAUUCUUUAAGCUCAUGGAUAGACAUUUUGUGCGUCCCUGCCUGCCUUAUGUUCCAGCAUCCUGCCUCCAAGGUUCUGGAACCUUGGGUGCCCCAGCAUCACAUCUUCCCAGUCUGCACGUUGGCAGAGAAGGAAGCCGUCCUGCCUCUUCAUCUCUGAAAUUAGUAGAAGACCAAAGUCCUUGUAUAUUUCAAAAUAUUGAAGAAGAAAGUGACUGUUUAACCACCUACGUGAUAAAACUGAUACUGGCAUUUAUCAGUCUGUGUGUGUGUGUGUGUGUGUGUUUCAGUAGUUAGAAAAUGGAGCCUCCAUUUUCCCGUCAUCCGCUUUGAAGCUAUGUAGUGGGUGAAUGCCAUCAUUUCUGUUUCCGACCUCUUUAGCAUCCAUUAUUUCUCUGUUGUCCACAUCUAAUAGUCUGGAUCCUUUUAGUUGUUGAUGGCGCAGCGAUUACUGGGGCUGCUGCUUUAGGAUGACUUCCAAAUGCAUCUGAACAGUUGAAUUUAUUUACUGCUUCCCUCCUGAAAGCUUUUUAGCAUGAUCCAGCUGGGGUGGUUUCAUCGGGAAAACCAUUAUUUGCGGCUCUCUUUUUUUGAGGGGUAGAAAUAAAUUUCCCAAAAGGUGAAAGUGGACGCUGUUCAUUGUGGAUCUGCAAUCUUACUUUUUCUUCUCUCUCCUUCUUACAUUCCAUUUGCACAGUUUUUCUCAGGAAUGACUUCUUUCUGGGGAAAUGGAAUGUUCUAAAUGGCACGAUUGAGUCAAAUCAAUGUUUAGAGUGGUUUGGACUUUUAAGCCUUUUGCUGGAUUUUGGCAGUAUCAUUUUAUACUGUAAAACCCCUUUUUUCCCAGGUAACCUAUAAUAUUCAUAUUGAACAUUAUUCACAGCUUUCUA
Molecule: long non-coding RNA, 6223 nt
Filed under: Equus caballus (horse)
Lineage: Eukaryota; Metazoa; Chordata; Mammalia; Perissodactyla; Equidae
Description: lncRNA (ENSECAG00000059349.1)
Source: RNAcentral